This 276-nucleotide ribosomal RNA is filed under the name uncultured bacterium. RNAcentral describes it as "partial 16S ribosomal RNA". It matches the Rfam family "Bacterial small subunit ribosomal RNA", at positions 79 to 354 of the family's 1533-position model. The record is from RNAcentral.
UCUUCUCCGCCGGCGACCGGCGCACGGGUGAGUAACACGUAUGCAACCUGCCCCUGUCAGGGGGACAACCCGCCGAAAGGCGGGCUAAACCCGCGUACAUGCCACCGGGGCAUCCCGGAGGCAGGAAAGGCUUCGGCCGGACAGGGAUGGGCAUGCGGCGCAUUAGGCAGUAGGCGGGGUAACGGCCCACCUAACCGACGAUGCGUAGGGGUUCUGAGAGGAAGGUCCCCCACACUGGUACUGAGACACGGACCAGACUCCUACGGGAGGCAGCAG